RNAcentral lists this ribosomal RNA (159 nucleotides) under Triticum aestivum (bread wheat). RNAcentral's name for it is "partial small subunit ribosomal RNA". The record is from RNAcentral. Lineage: Eukaryota; Viridiplantae; Streptophyta; Magnoliopsida; Poales; Poaceae.
AUGGGUUUACCUGGACCAAUACAUGAGAUUCUUAUGCUAUUUGGGGGAUUUGUUCUUCUACUAGAGGGUCUAGGAGUAGUAUUAUUUACCAACUCCAUUUAUUCUGCCUUUUCGCUGGGAUUAGAUCUUGUUUGUAUAUCCUUAUUCUAUUUUUAUUAA